GGGUCCAACCUCCCACCCGUGUUUAUUUUACCUUGUUGCUUCGGCGGGCCCGCCUUAACUGGCCGCCGGGGGGCUUACGCCCCCGGGCCCGCGCCCGCCGAAGACACCCUCGAACUCUGUCUGAAGAUUGAAGUCUGAGUGAAAAUAUAAAUUAUUUAAAACUUUCAACAACGGAUCUCUUGGUUCCGGCAUCGAUGAAGAACGCAGCGAAAUGCGAUACGUAAUGUGAAUUGCAAAUUCAGUGAAUCAUCGAGUCUUUGAACGCACAUUGCGCCCCCUGGUAUUCCGGGGGGCAUGCCUGUCCGAGCGUCAUUGCUGCCCUCAAGCCCGGCUUGUGUGUUGGGCCCCGUCCCCCGAUCUCCGGGGGACGGGCCCGAAAGGCAGCGGCGGCACCGCGUCCGGUCCUCGAGCGUAUGGGGCUUUGUCACCCGCUCUGUAGGCCCGGCCGGCGCUUGCCGAUCAACCCAAAUUUUUAUCCAGGUUGACCUCGGAUCAGGUAGGGAUACCCGCUGAACUUAAGCAUAUCAAGGAACGGAGGAA
RNAcentral lists this ribosomal RNA (540 nucleotides) under Penicillium commune. Its description in RNAcentral is "eukaryotic LSU rRNA". The stretch from base 160 to 312 matches the Rfam family "5.8S ribosomal RNA". The record is from RNAcentral. Lineage: Eukaryota; Fungi; Ascomycota; Eurotiomycetes; Eurotiales; Aspergillaceae.